UUCGAUGCAAAGCGAAGUCCCUUACCAGGGCUUGACAUGCCGCGAAUCCUCUUGAAAGAGAGGGGUGCCCUCGGGAACGCGGACACAGGUGGUGCUGGCUGUCGUCAGCUCGUGCCGUAAGGUGUUGGGUUAAGUCUCGCAACGAGCGCAACCCUCGUGUUUAGUUGCCACUGUGAGCCAGAGUCAGUCUAGUAUUGAUACUGAUGUGGUAUUAGUUUUUUAAUUAGCCAGGGGUUGUAUUUUGUAUUGG
This 250-nucleotide non-coding RNA is filed under the name Oryza sativa Indica Group (long-grained rice). RNAcentral describes it as "Bacterial small subunit ribosomal RNA". It matches the Rfam family "Bacterial small subunit ribosomal RNA", at positions 950 to 1135 of the family's 1533-position model. The record is from Rfam by way of RNAcentral. Lineage: Eukaryota; Viridiplantae; Streptophyta; Magnoliopsida; Poales; Poaceae.